GAUGAACGCUGGCGGCGUGCCUAAUACAUGCAAGUCGAGCGAACAGACGAGGAGCUUGCUCCUCUGACGUUAGCGGCGGACGGGUGAGUAACACGUGGAUAACCUACCUAUAAGACUGGGAUAACUUCGGGAAACCGGAGCUAAUACCGGAUAAUAUAUUGAACCGCAUGGUUCAAUAGUGAAAGACGGUUUUGCUGUCACUUAUAGAUGGAUCCGCGCCGCAUUAGCUAGUUGGUAAGGUAACGGCUUACCAAGGCAACGAUGCGUAGCCGACCUGAGAGGGUGAUCGGCCACACUGGAACUGAGACACGGUCCAGACUCCUACGUGAGGCAGCAGUAGGGAAUCUUCCGCAAUGGGCGAAAGCUUGACGGAGCAACGCCGCGUGAGUGAUGAAGGUCUUCGGAUCGUAAAACUCUGUUAUUAGGGAAGAACAAAUGUGUAAGUAACUAUGCACGUCUUGACGGUACCUAAUCAGAAAGCCACGGCUAACUACGUG
Molecule: ribosomal RNA, 497 nt
Filed under: uncultured bacterium
Lineage: Bacteria
Description: partial 16S ribosomal RNA
Rfam family: Bacterial small subunit ribosomal RNA
Source: RNAcentral